This 94-nucleotide non-coding RNA is filed under the name Celeribacter marinus. Its description in RNAcentral is "Glycine sequence". It matches the Rfam family "Glycine riboswitch aptamer". From Rfam's summary of the family: This family represents the bacterial glycine riboswitch. Lineage: Bacteria; Pseudomonadati; Pseudomonadota; Alphaproteobacteria; Rhodobacterales; Roseobacteraceae. The record is from Rfam by way of RNAcentral.
UAUCUCGCGUUGGGAGAACGGAAGGGCAUAGUCCCCCGUGCCGAAGGAGCAACCGCCCCGGUAAACUCUCAGGCAAAUGGACCUUCGCGAGGUC